Molecule: long non-coding RNA, 1063 nt
Filed under: Coturnix japonica (Japanese quail)
Lineage: Eukaryota; Metazoa; Chordata; Aves; Galliformes; Phasianidae
Description: lncRNA (ENSCJPG00005008426.1)
Source: RNAcentral
UUAGAAGUCAUGGACUUGGCCUUGCUCGUCAUCCUUUGAUUUUUCUAUUGUGGCCACCAGUCAAUUAAAGAUUGUGGCUUAACUUAUAAGGUGAAAUCUUGGUCCGUGUUGCAAGAAUAACCAAAUAAUCCUUGUCUUCUGUGAAAUCAGAAGUUACUUCUAAACUGCAAGAGAGCUUAUUACACCUGUUCUGAAUAAGCCUGAUAAACACUAACACCUGACCAUUGAGUAGGAUGGAGAUGUGGGGACAUCCUGCAGCCAGGAUGCAUGACCUGGCUACGAAAGGACUGCAGAUACAGUAACUUUGAGAAGCACUUAACUCACUGUUAAAUGUUUAAAAGGAGAGAGUACAUGAGCUAGAGAUUUUCCUUUGGCAUAAACAUAUCUUAGGCUGUGGCGUUCUGUUGUAAGUCACAUGCAAUGGCAUUGAGAAGGGACAGUGAGGCAGGUGCAUGGUCUGACCCUGAGGUUCUCAUUUCUGGAGUCACUUUCUCUGCAUGGACUGUGGAUAAUAGCAGCAUAAUGGAAGUUGACACCUUUUGGCCCGUGCACCUCUAACCCUCAAAUGAUGGCCACAAAUAUGAACUCAUUCAAAUAAAGAGUUUUACAUCUGUCAAGUUAUAAAUACAUAAAGCAGCAACUCUGUUAUUCAGUUGUGUUGAAAAGAAGUUGAAAAGCCCCUGAACUGAAACAUGGUUGCCAUUAGAUAAGAUACAUUUUUAAAGAGCAUACUCUUAUUUUAAGAAAAUACCCUUCAUUUUUUUCCUGUCUCUUAUUAUUCAAACAGCAGCAGAUGUUAACUUCGAUAAAACCUACCCAUUCUUACAAUACUGUAUGUGUUACAUGUACAUAUUUCCUCAGAUCUGAUCACCUAUAGGCAAGCUGGUUACAUCUAAUGAUCUGUUUAAUCAUCAAGCUCUCGUGUUUCAGGGCUAGGGGCUUGCAUGAAGCUCCCUGCAUUUCUAGAAGAGUCGUCAAAAUCAGAAUGGUAUUGGUUAAGCUAAUGAGUCCUACAAACAGACAGCUUUUCAUAUUUCAGUUCCAUGACCAAAACACCAGGUAG